UGCGUAGGCGGAUAAAUAAGUCAGUGGUGAAAUCUUCCGGCUCAACCGGGAAACUGCCAUUGAUACUGUUUAUCUUGAGUUCGGUAGAGGUAGGCGGAAUGUGUAAUGUAGCGGUGAAAUGCUUAGAUAUUACACAGAACACCAAUUGCGUAGGCAGCUUACUAGACCGACACUGACGCUGAGGCACGAGAGCGUGGGUAGCGAACAGGAUUAGAUACCCUGGUAGUCC
Molecule: ribosomal RNA, 229 nt
Filed under: uncultured bacterium
Lineage: Bacteria
Description: partial 16S ribosomal RNA
Rfam family: Bacterial small subunit ribosomal RNA
Source: RNAcentral